This 805-nucleotide long non-coding RNA is filed under the name Anas platyrhynchos platyrhynchos (common mallard). RNAcentral's name for it is "lncRNA (ENSAPLG00000017322.1)". The record is from RNAcentral. Lineage: Eukaryota; Metazoa; Chordata; Aves; Anseriformes; Anatidae.
GUGCUUAAAAUGACAAUUGUGUACCUAGACCUACAGCCUGAGCCCAGCAGUCCCUUGCACAGAACCAUAUGGGGGAACCUCAUGGUGACCUGCAGGUCUGUUUUCAAGAGAAGUGGUGUUGCCUGCCUGAGGGCUCUGCAGGGCAAAGUACCCAUCACUGGCAGCUGGGGCUCCUCUGGGGCUCAGGGGAAUACAUGCUGGAUGUAUGCUGCUGAGAGCUCCAUCAGAUUGAUUUAACACUGCUAUAGAUGUUAUGUAGAUGACUGUGAAUAGCUGGGAAAGAAUGUUUUAAUUGCUCGUGAGUUGCCAACCUGUUUGGGAGUUUCAGAACAACUGAUAAUAACCGGUGACUGCUGGUGACUGUUAUGGGAUCCUUGGUAUCUGGCCAGGGGGGCCAAGAGAUUAAGAGGAAGAGAAAAGAAGCUGAAGGACGGUUGGGAGACAAGACCUGCGGAGAGUGUACAGAGAGUGUUCCAUAAACUUGGGAUAGUGCCAAGUAAGUACAAAGGGUGAGAGGAAGACUACGAGCCUUCAGCAUGAAAGACCCCUAGAGACCCCCAGAGGAGACUGAUGCGCAUGCUCCAGUAGGAGGAACUGGACCCCGGAAGCUAAUUAUAAUAAUCUACUUUUUUAGAAGUAGUAAUGAAUAUGUAUUAGUCUAGGUGCAUAAAAAUCAGCAGCUUGAUGUAACUGGUGUGCGUCCUGGUGGAGCGGAGACUCCCGGUGCACCCAGCGCUGUUUGCUUACCUCUAUUCCUUUAUAUUCUUUUAAUAAAUCCUAUUUUUUUAUUUAAUCCUAAUUUGAA